RNAcentral lists this long non-coding RNA (238 nucleotides) under Gossypium barbadense (sea-island cotton). Its description in RNAcentral is "long non-coding RNA (GBAR_LNC011348)". Lineage: Eukaryota; Viridiplantae; Streptophyta; Magnoliopsida; Malvales; Malvaceae. The record is from RNAcentral.
CCGUGUGGUAAAUCUAAUUUUCAUAAAAUAGGUGCAAACUUCACACGUCCGGGACACACGCCCAUGGUUGAAGCCGUCUCCCUUACACGGCUAAGACGCACGCUUGUGUCUCUGCCCGUGUACUAAAUUUUGAGCAUUCUAUUUCUCAAAAUUAAGGUGCAGGGGACACACGACCGAACACAUGCCAAUGGGGUAGACUGUGUGUCACACACAACCUAGAUACGCACCCGUGUGUCUA